GAACAAGUCACACAAAGCAACGGAACCUUCAUUUAGAGCUGUAUUUUUUAAUACGUAUUUUUUAGAUGUUAAGACACUUCAACUUGCUACUUCUAAAUUGUGCAUUUGUUUUUUUGUUGAAGGAUCAGGCUGCUCCAUGUAACACUUAUUGAUUAACUGGACAUUUUCAGUCAGUUCACUAGUUUUAGUUGCUCAUAAGUCACAUGAUUUUACAAUUAGUUGUAAAAUAUACAAAGUUUAAUCAUCUUGACAUACCACAGACAAUUCCCUGAUUUUUCAGAAGAUGAGAGAAACCUUUCAGCACCGUCAGACGCUUGUUAAUGACCCAAGCAGAGGUGUUGAGAUCCUCUCCACCUUCCCAAGAUUCCUGGAUACCAAAGGAUUGGUGGAUCAAGACCUCCUCGCUGUUGGGCUUCAGAAGAGCAAGAUUGACAGCUUCUACAUCACCAUGGAUAAGCAUCUCAUCCCACGCCAGGCAAACCGCUCCCUGCCUUGGGGCUUUCGACAAACUUUCCAAAACCCAUUUUGUGUUUAAUUUGUCGUACGAUGCUGCGUUACUGAAUUUUUACACAUUCUUGCAGACAACAGUGUAUAACAGUGAUGUGGGGAAAAUGAAGGAGUCACCCAGAGUCAGAGACUUGAGAGCCAGACUGCUUGACCAGCUAGUACCGGUCUCACUCUCUGAGUAAGAGGCUGAAACAAUACUGACCGGUUUCAUGUGUCAGAAUUUGUAUCCCAGCAGCCAGAAGUUGAUGGUGUUAUACUGGAACCGUAGAUAAAUGAUAUAAAAUUACUGAAAACCCAAGGCCUUAGUCUUAGUAGUGUUUGAUUGAGAGGAAUGAUUCUCAAACAGUAUACAGUGAGGAAGAUCCCAAAGUGAUCCUUCGUGGAAGAAAUAUGUUUGAUAUGCAUUACAAAUGUCUCCAAGACAACCCACCAUUGAACUCCUUGUAUGGUUUGAAAGAGACUUCUACACUUAACUCAUUGAAUUAUUUCCAUGUUUGAA
Molecule: long non-coding RNA, 1006 nt
Filed under: Cottoperca gobio
Lineage: Eukaryota; Metazoa; Chordata; Actinopteri; Perciformes; Bovichtidae
Description: lncRNA (ENSCGOG00000018678.1)
Source: RNAcentral